AUUUACACAGACAUUAAAUUUCGUUCUAUUCAUUUUAGACAUAUAAUGCUAAGCUGAUUUUUUUUUUUUUAUAGCGCACUGAUCGAUAUCUCUGUAAAAUAAUCAUUUUUUUUUAACUAGCGGGGCAGUGAAAUCUUUGCUUUGUGCUAAAGUCAACAGUGACAGAGUUUGAGCUCAAAUAAAUGCCGUGAUGUCUGGAGCCCUUUGCAGAAGGCAGAAGGCGAGCUUCUACAAUGGGCUCCUGUGUGACUUGCCAACAACAAGCACCAGCUAUUUUGCACAGAUGCACAUGGCUUUCUUUGAAGGACUCUUUUCCACUGCUGCUUUCCAUCUACGUUCAUCACCCUGCAUCAAGCGGCCUGAAAGCACUUCCCUGUCGAUGUGCUUGCCUAUAUCUAUGUCUGACCUGUCUGCCAUAUGUAAUAUCAAAGCCUCUGUCAGCGUGGAGCUGAAUGGGAACAAAAGAGAGGCCUCCAUUAAUGAUUAACUGUUCUAAAAGCCCCGGCUUUUGUAUUCCCAUGGUACCCAGGCUAUCUGGCCACCAUGUGACAUGCUCACAGCAUUUUUCGAGCAGAUUGGGGGAAAGCUAGUGAGCAAACACAGGUGCUUUGGAGCAGCGUUGCCGACGCUGUCAGGGACAACCACAAACAAGAGCAGCUAUGCCUGGCUAAAUGAAUCCCCACCCCUCCCAACACCAUCACCAUCACCACCUCCACCCCCCCAUCCCCGCUCUCUGUCGCUAGCUAACUUGUUUGCGAGCUCCCCAUAGCUUUCUCCCCGCAAAGCCUUCCUUCUGGAGAGUCCCCAUGCUCCCCCCCCACAAGUUCAAUGCCCGCUACAGCCACAGCUCCACAACUUCUCACACCCUCCAAAGAAACAAACAAAUAAAAGUGAGGACGGCCGACCACUUCUUUGAGGUGAUGGCAUUUGCUGUGGUCAUGACUAGUGGGAGAGCAAACAAAUUAACGGUAUUCGGGUUUUCACUUUCCAAACCAAACUAACUGUCUUUUAGUUCAAGUGGGGCAAUUCCACUGACCCUGGUGUCAAACGCUGUAUAAGGGCUGCACACUCUUGCACUUGAAAUGCAGAGAGGAGGCCGUAAGAAAUUAAACAGGGCUUGAGUAUUGGCCAACCUGGUGUGUUGAAACACCUUAAAGUGAGAAAUAAAUCUUGAAUAAAUUGUGUGUGUAAUAAACA
Molecule: long non-coding RNA, 1197 nt
Organism: Sander lucioperca (pikeperch)
Lineage: Eukaryota; Metazoa; Chordata; Actinopteri; Perciformes; Percidae
Exons: 2
Source: RefSeq, a predicted model, not a curated record